This 605-nucleotide unclassified non-coding RNA is filed under the name Haliotis rubra (blacklip abalone). RNAcentral's name for it is "uncharacterized LOC124289363, transcript variant X2". Lineage: Eukaryota; Metazoa; Mollusca; Gastropoda; Lepetellida; Haliotidae. The record is from RNAcentral.
UCUGUAAACGACGCCAUUGUUGUUUAGCAUCACUGUAACGCUUCAAAGUUCUUCUAAUAACUUGCGAUUUGUUACUCACUUCUCACAAGCUCAGCACCAUGUUUACGAGUGUUGCAAGCGUUUAUCAUCAAGCUCCCAACUGCUGAAGUCAAUUCCCAGCCUGUAACCCAGACCCCCUCCCCAAACCCUGCCCUUCGCUCUCUAUAUGGCUCCUCCAUGAACCUGGAUGAAGACAUACCCGAGAUAGACUUGGGAGAUCCCACUGGGCCAUUUGCAGUACAGCAUGUCAGCUCUGAGACUUAUGUGGUUAUUGACAUGAAUGAUAUUGGAGAAACAAGCCUACCACAGUCACUUGAGACAACAUGCUGCCCCAGUGUAUUCAGCUUCAUCAAGAGACUGUUCACUCUGUACUAAAAAAGACAUUUGAUCUGGCGCAAUAUUAGUUGGAACUUUUACAGCAUUUAUGAAACUGCAUAUUUUUGUAAACUAUUCUAAAAGAACAACAUAAUCUCAUUCAGACAAUUUGAUGUAUGUACCUUUUGUACACAGCAAAAUGUAAAUACUUCUAUCACUUAAUAUGAUUUGAAACUCUAAAUUGUGUUACU